GUCUCCUUGCUGCUUCUUCCUCCUGGCCUCAUUUAGUUGCACUGGAUUGAUUGUUGUCGAGGGUUACUCUGUUGCCGUGGACGAUGUCUGACUGUAUGCAGCUCACGCUAGCUCUUUGUAGGAUUGGUUUUUAUACGGAACUGAUUGGAGUGAGGAUGGUGGCUGUCAGCUGACUGUAUUCAACUUGGCAAAGACUUACAGUUCAUCACAUUUACAAGGUAAUGAUUACUAUUAUUUUUGUUUAUAGCUGUUGGAUGACCUCUGCAGAAAUAAC
This 274-nucleotide long non-coding RNA is filed under the name Lepisosteus oculatus (spotted gar). RNAcentral's name for it is "lncRNA (ENSLOCG00000021316.1)". Lineage: Eukaryota; Metazoa; Chordata; Actinopteri; Semionotiformes; Lepisosteidae. The record is from RNAcentral.